UCAGCAGCCGCGGUAAGACAGAGGGUGCAAACGUUGCUCGGAAUUACUGGGCGUAAAGCGCGUGUAGGCGGGACGAUAAGUCAGGUGUGAAAUCCCUAGGCUCAACCUAGGAACUGCAUUUGAAACUGUCGGCCUUGAGUGAUGGAGAGGAUGGCGGAAUUCCUGGUGUAGAGGUGAAAUUCGUAGAUAUCAGGAGGAACACCGGUGGCGAAGGCGGCCAUCUGGAAAUCUACUGACGCUGAGACGCGAAAGCGUGGGGAGCAAACAGGAUUAGAUACCCUGGUAGUCCACGCCGUAAACGAUGAGUGCUAGGUGUCGUGGGUUUUGACCCCCGCGGUGCCGAAGCUAACGCAUUAAGCACUCCGCCUGGGAAGUACGGUCGCAAGACUAAAACUCAAAGAAAUUGACGGC
Molecule: ribosomal RNA, 411 nt
Filed under: uncultured bacterium
Lineage: Bacteria
Description: bacterial SSU rRNA
Rfam family: Bacterial small subunit ribosomal RNA
Source: RNAcentral